CCGAUUUGAAGCAAMAACAAUUGAUCAUGCCACUGACAUUAGUUGAAGGGCCGCGGUAUUUUGACCGUGCAAAGGUAGCAUAAUCACUAGUCUUUUAAUUGAGGGCUGGAAUGAAUGGUUUGACGAAAUAUUGACUGUCUCUUUAUAAUAAAUAUAAUUUAACUUUUAAGUCAAAAGGCUUAAAUGAAUAUAAAAGACGAGAAGACCCUAUAGAUCUUUAUACAAUUAGGUAUAAUUAUUAAUGUGGUUGUAUUGAUUGUGGUUAUAAUAUUGUAUUUUGUUGGGGUGACAUGAAGAUAUAAGUAACUCUUUAUAAUGGGAACAUUGGUUUAUGAUUAAUUGAUCCGUUAUUAGCGAUUAUAAGAUAAAGUUACCUUAGGGAUAACAGCGUAAUUUUUUUUGAGAGUUCUUAUCGACAAAAAAGAUUGCGACCUCGAUGUUGGAUUAAGGAAUAUGAUUAGGUGUAGCAGUUUGAUUAAUAAGUCUGUUCGACUUUUAAAUCCUUACGUGAUCUAUUCCAGAAACCGGA
RNAcentral lists this ribosomal RNA (529 nucleotides) under Chizuella bonneti. Its description in RNAcentral is "Metrioptera bonneti partial 16S large subunit ribosomal RNA". It matches the Rfam family "Bacterial large subunit ribosomal RNA", at positions 1890 to 2622 of the family's 2925-position model. The record is from RNAcentral. Lineage: Eukaryota; Metazoa; Arthropoda; Insecta; Orthoptera; Tettigoniidae.